GGGGAAUAUUGGACAAUGGGCGAAAGCCUGAUCCAGCCAUGCCGCGUGUGUGAAGAAGGUCUUCGGAUUGUAAAGCACUUUAGUUGGGGGGAAGGGGUUCUGGCUCAAUACCCGGAAUUUUGACGGUUACGGAAGAAUAAACCACGGCUAACCUCGUUCCAGCAGCCGCGGUAAUACGAAGGGUGCAAGCGUUAAUCGGAAUUACUGGGCGUAAAGCGCGCGUAGGGUGGUUCGUUAAGUUGGAUGUGAAAGCCCCGGGCUCAACCUGGGAACUGCAUCCAAAACUGGCGAGCUAGAGUAUGGCAGAGGGUGGUGGAAUUUCCUGUGUAGCGCUGAAAUGCGUAGAUAUAGGAAGGAACACCAGUGGCGAAGGCGACCACCUGGGCUAAUACUGACACUGAGGUGCGAAAGCGUGGGGAGCAAACA
Molecule: ribosomal RNA, 426 nt
Filed under: uncultured Pseudomonadaceae bacterium
Lineage: Bacteria; Pseudomonadati; Pseudomonadota; Gammaproteobacteria; Pseudomonadales; Pseudomonadaceae
Description: bacterial SSU rRNA
Rfam family: Bacterial small subunit ribosomal RNA
Source: RNAcentral